AUGGCCAAAGGUCCAAAGGUAAAACAUCCCGAGUAUGUUGAUUUCAAUAGUGAUGAAGAUGACUUGCUAGGUGAUGAUGAUUUACUUAUUUACAACUCUUGUGAUGAAUACUAUGAUGGAACGUCAAUUAAUCAUGCUAAACAAGAUAAAACGAAUUUUGGUAAGGAGAAGAUUGAGCUUCUAACUAAAGGACUAAACACUCUUAAGUUAGCUCAUGAAACUAUCUUUGAAAAUCAUCGAGAACUUUUAAGGGCUCAUGAGAAGUUACGCUUUGAAAAGCUCAAUCUUGAGCAAGAGCAUGAGUUCUUAAAGGCAAUCAAUGAUGAUCUUCGCAAGAAAAGUUCUUCUUAUAUUGCCAAGCGUUUACUCUUAUCUACUUACCUGCCUCAAGUCAAGUCUAGUAACAAGAACAAGAAAGAUUCUUCCUCUAGUAGUAACAAUAACAAUGCUAAAUCAAAUAUUGUUGCUUCUAGUAGUUCUCUUGAUUCCACUAAUGAUUCUCUUAGCCAAGUUACACUUGAGCAAGAAAACAGCUUAUUGAAAGGAAUUAUAGAGAAAGGUGUAUACAAGAGCCUUGCCGGGAGUAAGCAAUUCGAGGAAAUUGUACGCAAGCAAGGAAGGCACCGGAAGAAUCAAGGUGUUGGUUUUGAAUGA
RNAcentral lists this ribosomal RNA (654 nucleotides) under Triticum aestivum (bread wheat). Its description in RNAcentral is "partial small subunit ribosomal RNA". The record is from RNAcentral. Lineage: Eukaryota; Viridiplantae; Streptophyta; Magnoliopsida; Poales; Poaceae.